RNAcentral lists this ribosomal RNA (466 nucleotides) under uncultured bacterium. Its description in RNAcentral is "bacterial SSU rRNA". It matches the Rfam family "Bacterial small subunit ribosomal RNA", at positions 329 to 792 of the family's 1533-position model. The record is from RNAcentral.
UUCCAGACUCCUACGGGAGGCAGCAGUGAGGAAUAUUGGUCAAUGGGCGAGAGCCUGAACCAGCCAAGUCGCGUGAGGGAAGACGGUCCUAUGGAUUGUAAACCUCUUUUGUCGGGGAGCAAAAAGGCCUCGUGAGGCCACAAGUGAGAGUACCCGAAGAAAAAGCAUCGGCUAACUCCGUGCCAGCAGCCGCGGUAAUACGGAGGAUGCGAGCGUUAUCCGGAUUUAUUGGGUUUAAAGGGUGCGUAGGCGGGACGGUAAGUCAGCGGUAAAAAUGCGGAGCUCAACUCCGUCGAGCCGUUGAAACUGCCGUUCUUGAGUGAGCGAGAAGUAUGCGGAAUGCGUGGUGUAGCGGUGAAAUGCAUAGAUAUCACGCAGAACUCCGAUUGCGAAGGCAGCAUACCGGCGCUCAACUGACGCUGAAGCACGAAGGCGUGGGUAUCGAACAGGAUUAGAUACCCGAGUA